This 675-nucleotide ribosomal RNA is filed under the name Escherichia coli. Its description in RNAcentral is "bacterial SSU rRNA". It matches the Rfam family "Bacterial small subunit ribosomal RNA", at positions 104 to 775 of the family's 1533-position model. Lineage: Bacteria; Pseudomonadati; Pseudomonadota; Gammaproteobacteria; Enterobacterales; Enterobacteriaceae. The record is from RNAcentral.
GGGUGAGUAAUGUCUGGGAAACUGCCUGAUGGAGGGGGAUAACUACUGGAAACGGUAGCUAAUACCGCAUAACGUCGCAAGACCAAAGAGGGGGACCUUCGGGCCUCUUGCCAUCGGAUGUGCCCAGAUGGGAUUAGCUAGUAGGUGGGGUAACGGCUCACCUAGGCGACGAUCCCUAGCUGGUCUGAGAGGAUGACCAGCCACACUGGAACUGAGACACGGUCCAGACUCCUACGGGAGGCAGCAGUGGGGAAUAUUGCACAAUGGGCGCAAGCCUGAUGCAGCCAUGCCGCGUGUAUGAAGAAGGCCUUCGGGUUGUAAAGUACUUUCAGCGGGGAGGAAGGGAGUAAAGUUAAUACCUUUGCUCAUUGACGUUACCCGCAGAAGAAGCACCGGCUAACUCCGUGCCAGCAGCCGCGGUAAUACGGAGGGUGCAAGCGUUAAUCGGAAUUACUGGGCGUAAAGCGCACGCAGGCGGUUUGUUAAGUCAGAUGUGAAAUCCCCGGGCUCAACCUGGGAACUGCAUCUGAUACUGGCAAGCUUGAGUCUCGUAGAGGGGGGUAGAAUUCCAGGUGUAGCGGUGAAAUGCGUAGAGAUCUGGAGGAAUACCGGUGGCGAAGGCGGCCCCCUGGACGAAGACUGACGCUCAGGUGCGAAAGCGUGGGGAGCAAACAG